This 425-nucleotide ribosomal RNA is filed under the name Leptodactylus knudseni group sp. ABGD cluster 32. RNAcentral's name for it is "partial large subunit ribosomal RNA". It matches the Rfam family "Bacterial large subunit ribosomal RNA", at positions 1834 to 2457 of the family's 2925-position model. Lineage: Eukaryota; Metazoa; Chordata; Amphibia; Anura; Leptodactylidae. The record is from RNAcentral.
CUUGCAUACCUAUAAGAGGUCCAGCCUGCCCAGUGACUCUGUUCAACGGCCGCGGUAUCCUAACCGUGCGAAGGUAGCGUAAUCACUUGUUCUUUAAAUGAGGACUAGUAUGAAUGGCAUCACGAAGGUUAUACUGUCUCCUCUUUCCAAUCAGUGAAACUAAUCUCCCCGUGAAGAAGCGGGGAUAACUUUAUAAGACGAGAAGACCCUAUGGAGCUUUAAACUAAGAAUCAACUGACUUUUCCACUUUUAAAUUCCAGAAAACUAACUUUUACCAAGACACUCUGAUUUCUAGUUUUAGGUUGGGGUGACCACGGAGUAAAAACUAACCUCCGCAAUGAACAGGGAUCUUCCCUUAACCAAGGACCACAACCCUAAGAAUCAACACAUUGACAUCAAUUGACCCAAAAAUUUGAUCAAUGAAC